Molecule: ribosomal RNA, 1506 nt
Filed under: metagenome
Description: bacterial SSU rRNA
Rfam family: Bacterial small subunit ribosomal RNA
Source: RNAcentral
AGAGUUUGAUCCUGGCUCAGGACGAACGCUGGCGGCGUGCCUAAUACAUGCAAGUAGAACGCUGAAGAGAGGAGCUUGCUCUUCUUGGAUGAGUUGCGAACGGGUGAGUAACGCGUAGGUAACCUGCCUUGUAGCGGGGGAUAACUAUUGGAAACGAUAGCUAAUACCGCAUAACAAUGGAUGACACAUGUCAUUUAUUUGAAAGGGGCAAUUGCUCCACUACAAGAUGGACCUGCGUUGUAUUAGCUAGUAGGUGAGGUAAUGGCUCACCUAGGCGACGAUACAUAGCCGACCUGAGAGGGUGAUCGGCCACACUGGGACUGAGACACGGCCCAGACUCCUACGGGAGGCAGCAGUAGGGAAUCUUCGGCAAUGGGGGCAACCCUGACCGAGCAACGCCGCGUGAGUGAAGAAGGUUUUCGGAUCGUAAAGCUCUGUUGUAAGUCAAGAACGGGUGUGAGAGUGGAAAGUUCACACUGUGACGGUAGCUUACCAGAAAGGGACGGCUAACUACGUGCCAGCAGCCGCGGUAAUACGUAGGUCCCGAGCGUUGUCCGGAUUUAUUGGGCGUAAAGCGAGCGCAGGCGGUUUGAUAAGUCUGAAGUUAAAGGCUGUGGCUCAACCAUAGUUCGCUUUGGAAACUGUCAAACUUGAGUGCAGAAGGGGAGAGUGGAAUUCCAUGUGUAGCGGUGAAAUGCGUAGAUAUAUGGAGGAACACCGGUGGCGAAAGCGGCUCUCUGGUCUGUAACUGACGCUGAGGCUCGAAAGCGUGGGGAGCGAACAGGAUUAGAUACCCUGGUAGUCCACGCCGUAAACGAUGAGUGCUAGGUGUUGGAUCCUUUCCGGGAUUCAGUGCCGCAGCUAACGCAUUAAGCGCUCCGCCUGGGGAGUACGACCGCAAGGUUGAAACUCAAAGGAAUUGACGGGGGCCCGCACAAGCGGUGGAGCAUGUGGUUUAAUUCGAAGCAACGCGAAGAACCUUACCAGGUCUUGACAUCCCGAUGCUAUUUCUAGAGAUAGAAAGUUACUUCGGUACAUCGGUGACAGGUGGUGCAUGGUUGUCGUCAGCUCGUGUCGUGAGAUGUUGGGUUAAGUCCCGCAACGAGCGCAACCCUUAUUGUUAGUUGCCAUCAUUCAGUUGGGCACUCUAGCGAGACUGCCGGUAAUAAACCGGAGGAAGGUGGGGAUGACGUCAAAUCAUCAUGCCCCUUAUGACCUGGGCUACACACGUGCUACAAUGGUUGGUACAACGAGUUGCGAGUCGGUGACGGCGAGCUAAUCUCUUAAAGCCAAUCUCAGUUCGGAUUGUAGGCUGCAACUCGCCUACAUGAAGUCGGAAUCGCUAGUAAUCGCGGAUCAGCACGCCGCGGUGAAUACGUUCCCGGGCCUUGUACACACCGCCCGUCACACCACGAGAGUUUGUAACACCCGAAGUCGGUGAGGUAACCUUUUGGAGCCAGCCGCCUAAGGUGGGACAGAUGAUUGGGGUGAAGUCGUAACAAGGUA